GAUGAACGCUGGCGGCGUGCCUAAUACAUGCAAGUCGAGCGAACGGACGAGAAGCUUGCUUCUCUGAUGUUAGCGGCGGACGGGUGAGUAACACGUGGAUAACCCACCUAUAAGACUGGGAUAACUUCGGGAAACCGGAGCUAAUACCGGAUAAUAUUUUGAACCGCAUGGUUCAAAAGUGAAAGACGGUCUUGCUGUCACUUAUAGAUGGAUCCGCGCUGCAUUAGCUAGUUGGUAAGGUAACGGCUUACCAAGGCAACGAUGCAUAGCCGACCUGAGAGGGUGAUCGGCCACACUGGAACUGAGACACGGUCCAGACUCCUACGGGAGGCAGCAGUAGGGAAUCUUCCGCAAUGGGCGAAAGCCUGACGGAGCAACGCCGCGUGAGUGAUGAAGGUCUUCGGAUCGUAAAACUCUGUUAUUAGGGAAGAACAUAUGUGUAAGUAACUGUGCACAUCUUGACGGUACCUAAUCAGAAAGCCACGGCUAACUACGUGCCAGCAGCCGCGGUAAUACGUAGGUGGCAAGCGUUAUCCGGAAUUAUUGGGCGUAAAGCGCGCGUAGGCGGUUUUUUAAGUCUGAUGUGAAAGCCCACGGCUCAACCGUGGAGGGUCAUUGGAAACUGGAAAACUUGAGUGCAGAAGAGGAAAGUGGAAUUCCAUGCGUAGCGGUGAAAUGCGCAGAGAUAUGGAGGAACACCAGUGGCGAAGGCGACUUUCUGGUCUGUAACUGACGCUGAUGUGCGAAAGCGUGGGGAUCAAACAGGAUUAGAUACCCUGGUAGUCCACGCCGUAAACGAUGAGUGCUAAGUGUUAGGGGGUUUCCGCCCCUUAGUGCUGCAGCUAACGCAUUAAGCACUCCGCCUGGGGAGUACGACCGCAAGGUUGAAACUCAAAGGAAUUGACGGGGACCCGCACAAGCGGUGGAGCAUGUGGUUUAAUUCGAAGCAACGCGAAGAACCUUACCAAAUCUUGACAUCCUUUGACAACUCUAGAGAUAGAGCCUUCCCCUUCGGGGGACAAAGUGACAGGUGGUGCAUGGUUGUCGUCAGCUCGUGUCGUGAGAUGUUGGGUUAAGUUCCGCAACGAGCGCAACCCUUAAGCUUAGUUGCCAUCAUUAAGUUGGGCACUCUAAGUUGACUGCCGGUGACAAACCGGAGGAAGGUGGGGAUGACGUCAAAUCAUCAUGCCCCUUAUGAUUUGGGCUACACACGUGCUACAAUGGACAAUACAAAGGGCAGCGAAACCGCGAGGUCAAGCAAAUCCCAUAAAGUUGUUCUCAGUUCGGAUUGUAGUCUGCAACUCGACUACAUGAAGCUGGAAUCGCUAGUAAUCGUGGAUCAGCAUGCUACGGUGAAUACGUUCCCGGGUCU
RNAcentral lists this ribosomal RNA (1372 nucleotides) under uncultured bacterium. RNAcentral's name for it is "bacterial SSU rRNA". It matches the Rfam family "Bacterial small subunit ribosomal RNA", at positions 28 to 1381 of the family's 1533-position model. The record is from RNAcentral.